GACGAACGCUGGCGGCGUGCUUAACACAUGCAAGUCGAACGGUGAAGGGACUGGUUUUGCUGGUCCUGGAUGAGUGGCGAACGGGUGAGUAACACGUGAGUAACCUGCCCCCUUCUUCUGGAUAACCGCAUGAAAGUGUGGCUAAUACGGGAUAUUCUGGGUCUGUCGCAUGGUGGGCCUGGGAAAGAUUGCGCCUUUUUUGGUGUUUUUGUUGGGGGAUGGGCUCGCGGCCUAUCAGCUUGUUGGUGGGGUGAUGGCCUUCCAAGGGGGUGACGGGUAGGCGGGCUGAGAGGGUGGACGGUCACGCUGGGAGUGAGACACGGCCCAGACUUCGGCGGGAGGCAGCAGUGGGGAAUAUUGCACAAUGGGCGGAAGCCUGAUGCAGGGACGGCGCGUGAGGGAUGGAGGCCUUCGGGUUGUGAACCUCUUUCGCCAGUGAAGCAGGCCUGCCUCUUUUUGUGGGUGGGUUGACGGUAGCUGGAGAAGAAGCGCCGGCUAACUACGUG
This 506-nucleotide ribosomal RNA is filed under the name uncultured bacterium. RNAcentral's name for it is "partial 16S ribosomal RNA". It matches the Rfam family "Bacterial small subunit ribosomal RNA", at positions 28 to 507 of the family's 1533-position model. The record is from RNAcentral.